GACGAACGCUGGCGGCGUGCUUAACACAUGCAAGUCGAACGGUGAAGCGCCUUCCUUUUUGGUGGGUGUGGAUGAGUGGCGAACGGGUGAGUAACACGUGAGUAACCUGCCCCCUUCUUCUGGAUAACCGCAUGAAAGUGUGGCUAAUACGGGAUAUUCUGGGUCUGUCGCAUGAUGGGUCUGGGAAAGAUAUUGUUUCGGUGGGGGAUGGGCUCGCGGCCUAUCAGCUUGUUGGUGGGGUGAUGGCCUACCAAGGCGGUGACGGGUAGCCGGCCUGAGAGGGUGGACGGUCACACUGGGACUGAGACACGGCCCAGACUCCUACGGGAGGCAGCAGUGGGGAUUAUUGCACAAUGGGCGCAAGCCUGAUGCAGCGGCGCCGCGUGAGGGAUGGAGGCCUUCGGGUUGUGAACCUCUUUCGCCAGUGAAGCAGGCCUGCCUCGUUUGUGGGUGGGUUGACGGUAGCUGGAUAAGAAGCGCCGGCUAACUACGUG
RNAcentral lists this ribosomal RNA (494 nucleotides) under uncultured bacterium. RNAcentral's name for it is "partial 16S ribosomal RNA". It matches the Rfam family "Bacterial small subunit ribosomal RNA", at positions 28 to 507 of the family's 1533-position model. The record is from RNAcentral.